RNAcentral lists this ribosomal RNA (254 nucleotides) under uncultured bacterium. RNAcentral's name for it is "partial 16S ribosomal RNA". It matches the Rfam family "Bacterial small subunit ribosomal RNA", at positions 524 to 776 of the family's 1533-position model. The record is from RNAcentral.
UACGCAGGGGGCUAGCGUUGCUCGGAAUCACUGGGCGUAAAGGGUGCGUAGGCGGCCAGCACACGUCGGUUGUGAAAUCUCCGGGCUUAACUCGGAAAGGUCAACCGAUACUGUGCGGCUAGAGUGCGGAAGGGGCAACUGGAAUUCUCGGUGUAGCGGUGAAAUGCGUAGAUAUCUGGAGGAACACCGGUGGCGAAGGCGGCAUCCUGGACCGGCAUUGACGCUGAGGCGCGAAAGCCAGGGGAGCAAACGGG